This is a long non-coding RNA of Neofelis nebulosa (Clouded leopard), 507 nucleotides long. RefSeq lists it as uncharacterized. The transcript is spliced from 2 exons. Lineage: Eukaryota; Metazoa; Chordata; Mammalia; Carnivora; Felidae. The record is from RefSeq and is a predicted model, not a curated record.
CAAUCUGGCCCCAAACGUCAAUUGAGGAAGUUGAGAAGCAAUAAUCUAGAGCUAAUUAUUCCCCUCGAGUGAGACAAGACUCUUUUAUGUGCCCCGUUCGCUGCCCCACCAGGCAUGGGGUUUCCAGUGUGGGCUGUGGGAGCAGACACUAUUCCCAGCGUGCAUGAGUGGUGAGCACUCUUCACCUUAACCUUUUCAGUUUACUCUUUUACCCAGCUUCGCAUGGAUUCCUAACCUGUACAGGCUGAUGAGUACUCAGCUGAGGGAUGGAGGGAGAUUCUCUUUAUGGAUCUCCAGAGUUCUUUGCAACUUUUUCUCCACUCUUCUUUCUGGCAAAUUCUACCUGCCCUGCUCCACAUGGCAUCCCCUCCCUACCUGUAGCCUGGAAACUCUCUGAAGAUAGCGAGCCUAGACAAUCAUCAGGAUGGUCUUGUUUAUUUCUCACCUUGAAAGGAUCACUGUGCUACAUUGCCUAGCAUGCCAUGUCCCAUAAAUGGUUGCUUCAUA